This 68-nucleotide transfer RNA is filed under the name Ovis aries (sheep). It matches the Rfam family "tRNA". Rfam says of the family: Transfer RNA (tRNA) molecules are approximately 80 nucleotides in length. Their secondary structure includes four short double-helical elements and three loops (D, anti-codon, and T loops). Lineage: Eukaryota; Metazoa; Chordata; Mammalia; Artiodactyla; Bovidae. The record is from Rfam by way of RNAcentral.
GAUUCUGAGGCUCAGACGGUAAAGCGCCUGCCUACAAUGCAGGAGACUGGGGUUCAAUCCCUGGGUCA